GUUCGUUCAGAUUCUAAAACAAAGUAUCACAGACUGAAUGGCUGAUAAGCUUCAAGAUUUAUUUCUCCAAGUUCUGGAGGCUGGAGUCCAAGAGCAGUUUGCCAACAUGGUCACGCUGGGCGGAGGGCCAUCUCCCAGGUCACAGACUGCUGAAUUUACGGCUGGAUCCUCACACAGCUAAAGGGAACUAACAGCUCUCUGGCCUCUUACUAUAAGGUCACAAUCCCCUGCAUACAGUCUCCACCGUCAUCACCUAAUUACCUCUCACAGGGCACACAUCCUAAUGUCACCGUGGGAUUAGAAUGUCUGUUGAGAGCCACAGCCCAAGGGGCCCCAGCAAACUUCCAGCUGCCAGCAAACUUCCAGCUGCCAGUUGAUGAUUGGCUCACAGUGACCCCAGCAAACUUCUAGCUGCCAACUGAUUGGCUCCUCUGCGGUGAUGCUCAUUGGGCUGUUUCCCCGCCCUUUCAGACCAUGGAGCUGCUCAUUGGGGGACUCUUUUGACUCCGCCCACAUGACCCAGCCAAUCGGCCUCAAGAGCAGGAGGAGUGGGGGAGGUGGAGAGGCUUGUGGGAAGCCGGUGGUGGCAGUUGGGCUCUGAAGGUUUUCCUGAGGAGCUUUUUUGUUUGGCGUGUGUGGUUCUAAAAAUAAAGUUCGUUUCUUUUGACAAGUGGCUCCUGAAUUGUGCCCAGCCAGACUGCAGCACCAAAGAUAAACUUAAAAUAACCCUUUUUACUCUAAACUUUUUAAGUUUGAAUUCAUCAGGGCUUAGUGCUGCGGAAAGGCAUAU
This 790-nucleotide long non-coding RNA is filed under the name Marmota monax (woodchuck). The record is from RNAcentral. Lineage: Eukaryota; Metazoa; Chordata; Mammalia; Rodentia; Sciuridae.